CACGAGAGUGCCUCGCAAGAGGAGCCUGGAGACAGGUGCUGCAUGGCUGUCGUCAGCUCGUGUCGUGAGAUGUUGGGUUAAGUCCCGCAACGAGCGCAACCCUUGUCUUUAGUUGCCAUCAUUCAGUUGGGCACUCUAAAGAGACUGCCGGUGUCAAACCGGAGGAAGGUGGGGAUGACGUCAAGUCCUCAUGGCCUUUAUGACCAGGGCUACACACGUACUACAAUGGCCGGUACAAAGGGCAGCCACUUAGCGAUAAGGAGCCAAUCCCGUAAAGCCGGUCUCAGUCCGGAUUGGAGUCUGCAACUCGACUCCAUGAAGUUGGAAUCGCUAGUAAUCGCAGAUCAGCACGCUGCGGUGAAUACGUUCCCGGGCCUU
This 378-nucleotide ribosomal RNA is filed under the name uncultured Desulfocapsa sp. Its description in RNAcentral is "bacterial SSU rRNA". It matches the Rfam family "Bacterial small subunit ribosomal RNA", at positions 1005 to 1382 of the family's 1533-position model. The record is from RNAcentral. Lineage: Bacteria; Pseudomonadati; Thermodesulfobacteriota; Desulfobulbia; Desulfobulbales; Desulfocapsaceae.